This 382-nucleotide long non-coding RNA is filed under the name Setaria viridis. RNAcentral describes it as "long non-coding RNA (SVIR_LNC008946)". The record is from RNAcentral. Lineage: Eukaryota; Viridiplantae; Streptophyta; Magnoliopsida; Poales; Poaceae.
GGUAGGGUUACAGGUCAGUUGGUUACAAGAAUACUAGUCGAAUACAACUAGAGGAGUUCUACUUUUAUUACUAUGAGUACUUUUUCUAAUCCUCGGCUAGUUUCUGUCUAUUCAUGUGGACUAUACCGUCCUAUGCCAUAGUCUCCAUGUUAGAUACGUCUCGAUGUCCAGCCCCAUAUUUUAGGACUAUCCAAACCUUCUGGUGGGUCCAUAGAUGUAUGUAUGAUAGUAGGCUUGGCGGUGGCUGCGGGUUGUGGGCAGCAAGGCCGGGCGGCAAUGGCGCUGCCGGCCGGGUGGUAGGGGACCCCCGGUGGGGGUGCCGGCGGCAGGGCAAGCGGUGAUAGUGGUUAGCGGAGGGUGGGGUGGUAGGUGGGUAGAGCUG